AUUGAACGCUGGCGGCAGGCCUAACACAUGCAAGUCGAGCGGCAGCGGAAAGUAGCUUGCUACUUUGCCGGCGAGCGGCGGACGGGUGAGUAAUGUCUGGGAAACUGCCUGAUGGAGGGGGAUAACUACUGGAAACGGUAGCUAAUACCGCAUGACCUCGAAAGAGCAAAGUGGGGGAUCUUCGGACCUCACGCCAUCGGAUGUGCCCAGAUGGGAUUAGCUAGUAGGUGAGGUAAUGGCUCACCUAGGCGACGAUCCCUAGCUGGUCUGAGAGGAUGACCAGCCACACUGGAACUGAGACACGGUCCAGACUCCUACGGGAGGCAGCAGUGGGGAAUAUUGCACAAUGGGCGCAAGCCUGAUGCAGCCAUGCCGCGUGUGUGAAGAAGGCCUUAGGGUUGUAAAGCACUUUCAGCGAGGAGGAAGGCACCAUACUUAAUACGUGUGGUGAUUGACGUUACUCGCAGAAGAAGCACCGGCUAACUCCGUGCCAGCAGCCGCGGUAAUACGGAGGGUGCAAGCGUUAAUCGGAAUUACUGGGCGUAAAGCGCACGCAGGCGGUUUGUUAAGUCAGAUGUGAAAUCCCCCGCGCUUUAACGUGGGAACUGCAUUUGAAACUGGCAAGCUAGAGUCUUGUAGAGGGGGGUAGUAUUCCAGGUGCUGUGUUGCAAAG
Molecule: ribosomal RNA, 673 nt
Filed under: uncultured Enterobacteriaceae bacterium
Lineage: Bacteria; Pseudomonadati; Pseudomonadota; Gammaproteobacteria; Enterobacterales; Enterobacteriaceae
Description: bacterial SSU rRNA
Rfam family: Bacterial small subunit ribosomal RNA
Source: RNAcentral